GCCUGGCUGGCUCAGUUGGUGGAGCAUAUGACUCUUGAUCUUGGGGUUGUGAGUUCAAGGCCCAUGUUGGGCA
Molecule: transfer RNA, 73 nt
Filed under: Canis lupus familiaris (dog)
Lineage: Eukaryota; Metazoa; Chordata; Mammalia; Carnivora; Canidae
Also listed under: 2 other names
Rfam family: tRNA
About the family: Transfer RNA (tRNA) molecules are approximately 80 nucleotides in length.
Source: Rfam by way of RNAcentral